RNAcentral lists this long non-coding RNA (550 nucleotides) under Rattus norvegicus (Norway rat). Its description in RNAcentral is "long non-coding RNA NONRATT012972". The record is from RNAcentral. Lineage: Eukaryota; Metazoa; Chordata; Mammalia; Rodentia; Muridae.
UGUAGACAAUUUUAAUGUUUAUUUUCUCAAUUUCUCCAUAUUCUCUGGAUUGCAAUAUUGGGUGGCUCAAGCAUCACAACUCUUUUUACAGAGAAUUUGGGCGGCCCUGAGAAGGGCCUUUGGUUAAGAAAAUAGAAAUAAAAAGCCUUAACCGCCGAAGCCGUAGAGGGUGCGGCCCUGGCGUUUAAGCGCGUAGACCACGUCCAUAGCAGUGACGGUCUUGCGCUUGGCGUGCUCCGUGUAGGUGACGGCGUCGCGGAUUACGUUCUCCAGGAACACCUUCAGCACACCGCGGGUCUCCUCGUAGAUGAGGCCGGAGAUGCGCUUCACUCCUCCGCGCCGGGCCAGGCGGCGGAUGGCGGGCUUAGUGAUCCCCUGGAUGUUGUCGCGCAGGACUUUGCGGUGGCGCUUAGCGCCGCCUUUGCCCAGGCCUUUCCCUCCUUUGCCGCGACCGGACAUAUCUUAAAGGGCAGAGGAAAUAAGUUCUGAGCUUAGAGUCGCUCCUUUAUAUAGCUGCUUUGCCUUGAUCUCCCACCCCCAACAGAAUCGC